GGGAGAUUUCUUCCAGAGAGAGGAUAGAGUUAUUAAGUCUAAAGUCCAUUAUUUGCUUUUGUCCUUCAGGAAGAGAUGGUCCUGACUCUGGGUGGAUCUAACAAGGAUCCUGGAACUCCAGUUCUGCUUUUUGGAUUUACCGGGAACUUCCCAGUCCAGACGAUUGGAAUUACAGCAUUAUACUUUGACUGGUAUGAUCUUCUGCUUUCGGUAACCA
This is a long non-coding RNA of Harpia harpyja (harpy eagle), 217 nucleotides long. RefSeq lists it as uncharacterized. The record is from RefSeq and is a predicted model, not a curated record. NCBI's taxonomy places the organism in Eukaryota, Metazoa, Chordata, Aves, Accipitriformes, Accipitridae. The transcript has 3 exons.